This 253-nucleotide ribosomal RNA is filed under the name uncultured bacterium. RNAcentral's name for it is "partial 16S ribosomal RNA". It matches the Rfam family "Bacterial small subunit ribosomal RNA", at positions 524 to 776 of the family's 1533-position model. The record is from RNAcentral.
UACGAAGGGGGCUAGCGUUGCUCGGAAUCACUGGGCGUAAAGGGCGCGUAGGCGGCCAUUCAAGUCAGGGGUGAAAGCCCAAGGCUCAACCUUGGAAUUGCCUUUGAUACUGUUUGGCUUGAGACCGGAAGAGGUCGGCGGAACUGCGAGUGUAGAGGUGAAAUUCGUAGAUAUUCGGAAGAACACCAGUGGCGAAGGCGGCUCACUGGCCCUGUACUGACGCUGAGGUGCGAAAGCGUGGGGAGCAAACAGG